This 742-nucleotide ribosomal RNA is filed under the name uncultured Bacillota bacterium. Its description in RNAcentral is "bacterial SSU rRNA". It matches the Rfam family "Bacterial small subunit ribosomal RNA", at positions 28 to 755 of the family's 1533-position model. Lineage: Bacteria; Bacillati; Bacillota. The record is from RNAcentral.
GACGAACGCUGGCGGCGUGCCUAAUACAUGCAAGUCGAGCGGAUGAAAGGGAGCUUGCUCCCCGGAUUCAGCGGCGGACGGGUGAGUAACACGUGGGCAACCUGCCUGUAAGACUGGGAUAACUCCGGGAAACCGGGGCUAAUACCGGAUAACUUCUUUCUUCGCAUGAAGAGAGGUUAAAAGACGGUUAUGCUGUCACUUACAGAUGGGCCCGCGGCGCAUUAGCUGGUUGGUAGGGUAACGGCCUACCAAGGCGACGAUGCGUAGCCGACCUGAGAGGGUGAUCGGCCACACUGGGACUGAGACACGGCCCAGACUCCUACGGGAGGCAGCAGUAGGGAAUCUUCCGCAAUGGACGAAAGUCUGACGGAGCAACGCCGCGUGAGUGACGAAGGCCUUCGGGUCGUAAAACUCUGUUAUCGGGGAAGAACAAGUGCCGUUUAACUGGCGGCGCCUUGACGGUACCUGACCAGAAAGCCACGGCUAACUACGUGCCAGCAGCCGCGGUAAUACGUAGGUGGCAAGCGUUGUCCGGAAUUAUUGGGCGUAAAGCGCGCGCAGGCGGCUUCUUAAGUCUGAUGUGAAAGCCCACGGCUCAACCGUGGAGGGUCAUUGGAAACUGGGAGGCUUGAGUGCAGAAGAGAAGAGCGGAAUUCCACGUGUAGCGGUGAAAUGCGUAGAGAUGUGGAGGAACACCAGUGGCGAAGGCGGCUCUUUGGUCUGUAACUGACGCUGAGGCGCG